RNAcentral lists this transfer RNA (72 nucleotides) under Heterocephalus glaber (naked mole-rat). It matches the Rfam family "tRNA". Rfam says of the family: Transfer RNA (tRNA) molecules are approximately 80 nucleotides in length. The record is from Rfam by way of RNAcentral. Lineage: Eukaryota; Metazoa; Chordata; Mammalia; Rodentia; Bathyergidae.
UUAGGUUUAGCUUAGUGGUAGAGCAUAUGCUUAGCAUGCACAAGGCCCAGGUUUCAACUCCCAGCACCAAAA